This 397-nucleotide ribosomal RNA is filed under the name uncultured bacterium. RNAcentral describes it as "partial 16S ribosomal RNA". It matches the Rfam family "Bacterial small subunit ribosomal RNA", at positions 523 to 918 of the family's 1533-position model. The record is from RNAcentral.
AUACGUAGGGGGCGAGCGUUGUCCGGAAUUACUGGGCGUAAAGGGUGCGUAGGUGGCACUUUAAGUUGGAUGUGAAAUCCCCGUGCUUAACAUGGGAGCUGCAUCCAAUACUGGAGAGCUAGAGUGCAGGAGAGGUAAGCGGAAUUCCUAGUGUAGCGGUGAAAUGCGUAGAUAUUAGGAGGAACACCAGUGGCGAAGGCGGCUUACUGGACUGUAACUGACACUGAGGCACGAAAGCGUGGGGAGCAAACAGGAUUAGAUACCCUGGAAGUCCACGCUGUGAACGAUGAAUACUAGGUGUAGGGGGUAUCAACUCCCUCUGUGCCGCAGCAAACGCAAUAAGUAUUCCGCCUGGGGAGUACGGCCGCAAGGUUGAAACUCAAAUGAAUUGACGGGG